AGAAAGGUGUGUGGGACUGGGGAAUAUCGGCCUCAUAAAAACAGAGACUUAUGUAGCAAAAAGGUCGAUGUACUUUUUUUUUUUUUAGAUAUAUUUAUUCAAUUUCCAACAAAAAAUGCUUUUUCAAGAUUGGAUCGCCAAAGCAAAAUGACAAAAUGAAUCCAAGAGCUGCCAAGGGCCCCAGACGAUUUCUCUGCCUGUCAGCCUCCUCCUCCCUCUAUGUAACUUCAGCCCAAGGUUCUCUUCAGGGGUGUCGAAGACCCAUCCCUCCGGCUGAGAGAGGGAUUAACUCUUUGCCCUCCUUUCUCUCUCUCUUCCUCUCCCCCUCUCUCUCUCUCUCUCUCUCUCUUCCUGUCUUCCUCUCUCUCCCUGUCUCUCAGAAGCCUUGUCAUGUGUUGCCUAUACAGUGAAAUCCACUCUAAUGUAACUAAAACCUUCCUCUCCAGAAUCUUUUAAGACCUAAUUCAAUGUCCCUUCUCUUUUCCCCUCUAAAAAGAGGGUUGGAAACCAGGGACGGAAACAGAGAGAAGGCACAGUACCAUACAGUAGGCUGGGUGGAUGCUCUGUGGGUCACAUGGUCUAUCUGUCUCCAGGAACAAAGGAAUUUUUGAUGAGUUUUUUUGCCCUAGAAAAUACUCAAGGGGCUCUGAAAACUGUGGAUUUGAAAAAAACAUUUAAAUUUAAGAGUAAAAAAAGAAAAAAAUAUGAUUUCCCUCCAAGCCGUGUGUUUGCACUUGCAAUUAUGGGUGACAUUUUGUGAUGAACAAGGGCUGCGUUUUGCAGUGUGUGUGUGUGUGUGUGUGUUGACUAGUGUUUUUGAGCGAUAUACUUGAAGCCCAAUUGUGAGAUGAUUCUGUUAGCAUGACCUGGCUUUUCUUUUCAUAUAAUCAGAAAAUGUAAUGAGCUAAAAAUGUAAUAUUUAAUGCGAGAUGUAUAUUUUAGUAUGUUAUUUACCUACAUUUCUAGAUUAGUAGAGAUGUAAAGAAAAUACACAUAGAAAGAUGUGGAAUACAGUAUUAUAAACUAUAGCAUUGUGUAAUAUUACGGCUAUUUGGCAUUAUACAGAAGUCUUUUUUUAAAUGUGAUUAAUUAACAUGGAGAAGUGGUAUGGUCCAAUUCACAGGGUAUAACUGAUUAAUUAACAUGUAGAAAUGGUAUGGUCCAAUUCACAGGGUAUAACUGAUUAAUUAACAUGUAGAAAUGGUAUGGUCCAAUUCACAGGGUAUAACUGAUUAAUUAACAUGUAGAAAUGGUAUGGUCCAAUUCACAGGGUAUAACUGAUUAAAUAACGUGGAGAAGUGGUACGGUCCAAUUCACAGGGUAUAACUGAUUAAUUAACGUGUAGAAGUGGUAUGGUCCAAUUCACAGGGUAUAAAUGGUAUGGCCCAAUUCACAGGGUAUAACUGAUUAAUUAACAUGUAGAAAUGGUAUGGUCCAAUUCACAGGGUAUAACUGAUUAAAUAACGUGGAGAAGUGGUACGGUCCAAUUCACAGGGUAUAACUGAUUAAUUAACAUGUAGAAAUGGUAUGGUCCAAUUCACAGGGUAUAACUGAUUAAUUAACAUGUAGAAGUGGUACGGUCCAAAUCACAGGGUAUAACUGAUUAAUUAACAUGUAGAAGUGGUAUGGUCCAAUUCACAGGGUAUAAAUGGUAUGGUCCAAUUCACAGGGUAUAACUGAUUAAUUAACGUGUAGAACUGGUAUGGUCCAAUUCACAGGGUAUAAAUGGUAUGGUCCAAUUCACAGGGUAUAACUGAUUAAUUAACAUGUAGAAGUGGUAUGGUCCAAUUCACAGGGUAUAACUGAUUAAUUAACAUGUAGAAGUGGUAUGGUCCAAUUCACAGGGUAUAACUGAUUAAUUAACAUGUAGAAGUGGUAUGGUCCAAUUCACAGGGUAUAAAUGGUAUUUGCUAUUUAACAAAUAUGCUCUUUAUAUCAAUAGUCCAACCCCUUUCUCUCUGUCUCUCUAUCUCUCUCUCUGUCUGUCUGUCUGUCUGUCUCUCUCUCUCUCUCUCGGUCUCUCUCUCUCUCUCUCUCGGUCUCUCUAUCUGUCUCUCUCUCUCUCUCUCUGUCUCUCUAUCUGUCUCUCUCUCUCCCUCUCUCUCUCUGUAUGUCUCUCUCUCUGUCUCUCUCACUAUCUUGCUGUCUCUCUAUCUCUCUCUCUUCCCAACUCCAUGUGCCUAACCAGCUAGAUGUGGGGUUUUUCCUGUAACGUACUAAAGGUUUAUACACAAAUAUGUAAAUACACUGAAAAUAUAUAUUAUAGAACAGUAUGUGGUUUAUUUGAGUUAGGCAGAGGUCUAUCUUCCCUUUGGAUAUCGCUGUAGUCCUUGCAUGUUUUUUUAGGACGGCCAAAUCUCUGUCUUUCUUUCCCCCUGUUAGUUUAACCACAAACCAGACUGAUAUAUAUAUCUCAGGGCCUUUUUCCCAUUUUGGAGACACUUCAAAUAUCAUUAAAUUGAAUACUUUUAUUUCUCCACUGAAUAACCUACCACAGCUGGUUUUGGCUGGGAUUCAAAUCCGAUCACGGAUUACAGGCAUCGAGGCUUUUAAAGCCAGUGAUCCCACGUUCGCAGAGAUUCCAUUCACAGUAAAUGCGGCAUAUGUUGGCUCGAUAGGAAAUGUCCUUUAUUAAAAAAGCUGCAAUGCUUGUAACCCCCAAACGCAGAUUGAAUUCCACCUGAGUUUCAAAACGUUCCCCUGCAUCCUAAGAUAUUGUGUUAGUGUUGAAACCUCUCAAGACAAACAAGCACAAAGACAGAAAUCACCUCUACUCUUUCCACUGUCAACAAUUCUCCAAACCCUGAAGACAAUUUUUUCCUAAGGAUUAUCUACUUUAAGCACAAGUACUACACAUGGAGGGACAUUUCACUCAGCCUCGAAACAGCCUGUUCAUAUUUCACCACCUUACUUUCAUCCCUCUGGAUAUUCUUUCAAAGGAAGUAACAACGUCGAAAUGAAUCAUAGUAUAACCUGGCCUUCUUGCCUUUUAACAGGUCUGUUAAAAACACCUUUUCUGCUGAUCGGUGCAACUGCCAUAGACAGUCAACUCCUCUACUCUCUGGGAUAGACAGUCAACUCCUCUACUCUCUGGGAUAGACAGUCAACUCCUCUACUCUGGGAUAGACAGUCAACUCCUCUACUCUGGGAUAGACAGUCAACUCCUCUACUCUCUGGGAUAGACAGUCAAGUCCUCUACUCUCUGGGAUAGACAGUCAAGUCCUCUACUCUCUGGGAUAGACAGUCAACUCCUUUACUCUCUGCGAUAGACAGUCAACUCCUCUACUCUCUGGGAUAGACAGUCAACUCCUCUACUCUCUGGGAUAGACAGUCAACUCCUCUACUCUCUGCGAUAGACAGUCAACUCCUUUACUCUCUGGGAUAGACAGUCAACUCCUCUACUCUCUGGGAUAGACAGUCAAGUCCUCUACUCUCUGGGAUAGACAGUCAACUCCUCUACUCUCUGGGAUAGACAGUCAACUCCUCUACUCUCUGGGAUAGACAGUCAAGUCCUCUACUCUCUGGGAUAGACAGUCAAGUCCUCUACUCUCUGGGAUAGACAGUCAACUCCUCUACUCUCUGGGAUAGACAGUCAACUCCUCUACUCUGGGAUAGACAGUGAACUCCUCUACUCUCUGGGAUAGACAGUCAACUCCUCUACUCUCUGGGAUAGACAGUCAACUCCUCUACUCUCUGGGAUAGACAGUCAAGUCCUCUACUCUCUGGGAUAGACAGUCAACUCCUCUACUCUCUGGGAUAGACAGUCAAGUCCUCUACUGUACGUUUGAUUUGCUGGACCUUCUUGGGUUCAACCAGACUGAGAUUCCCUCAUUAACAAUGGGCCUGGGUUCAACCAGACUGAG
This 3863-nucleotide long non-coding RNA is filed under the name Salmo salar (Atlantic salmon). RNAcentral describes it as "lncRNA (ENSSSAG00000092835.1)". Lineage: Eukaryota; Metazoa; Chordata; Actinopteri; Salmoniformes; Salmonidae. The record is from RNAcentral.